RNAcentral lists this ribosomal RNA (497 nucleotides) under uncultured bacterium. Its description in RNAcentral is "partial 16S ribosomal RNA". It matches the Rfam family "Bacterial small subunit ribosomal RNA", at positions 28 to 507 of the family's 1533-position model. The record is from RNAcentral.
GAUGAACGCUGGCGGCGUGCCUAAUACAUGCAAGUCGAGCGAACAGACGAGGAGCUUGCUCCUCUGACGUUAGCGGCGGACGGGUGAGUAACACGUGGAUAACCUACCUAUAAGACUGGGAUAACUUCGGGAAACCGGAGCUAAUACCGGAUAACAUGUUGAACCGCAUGGUUUAACAGUGAAAGACGGUCUUGCUGUCACUUAUAGAUGGAUCCGCGCCGCAUUAGCUAGUUGGUAAGGUAACGGCUUACCAAGGCAACGAUGCGUAGCCGACCUGAGAGGGUGAUCGGCCACACUGGAACUGAGACACGGUCCAGACUCCUACGGGAGGCAGCAGUAGGGAAUCUUACGCAAUGGGCGAAAGCCUGACGGAGCAACGCCGCGUGAGUGAAGAAGGUCUUCGGAUCGUAAAACUCUGUUAUUAGGGAAGAACAAAUGUGUAAGUAACUAUGCACGUCUUGACGGUACCUAAUCAGAAAGCCACGGCUAACUACGUG